Molecule: transfer RNA, 77 nt
Filed under: Betaproteobacteria bacterium
Lineage: Bacteria; Pseudomonadati; Pseudomonadota; Betaproteobacteria
Description: tRNA-Pro
Rfam family: tRNA
About the family: Transfer RNA (tRNA) molecules are approximately 80 nucleotides in length. Their secondary structure includes four short double-helical elements and three loops (D, anti-codon, and T loops).
Source: RNAcentral
CGGGGUGUAGCGCAGCCUGGUAGCGCUCUUGCUUUGGGAGCAAGAUGUCGGAGGUUCAAAUCCUCUCACCCCGACCA